This 279-nucleotide long non-coding RNA is filed under the name Setaria italica (foxtail millet). RNAcentral's name for it is "long non-coding RNA (SITA_LNC003664)". Lineage: Eukaryota; Viridiplantae; Streptophyta; Magnoliopsida; Poales; Poaceae. The record is from RNAcentral.
CCGGUCUAGCAUGCAUGAGGAGGAAAAAAGUACUGAAGAAUACAGCGAGUUGGCGUGUCGGCACAACAGAGGAUCACGUCCGGUGCAACGCCGAGGCGGGGCGUGUGGGGAACUAAACUAAACUAAAGGAAACAUCGCUUUUGUACUCGCAUAGUAGUGUGGAGUGGCAGAUGAAGCCGGCGGCAUCAUGAGCGCAUCUCGAGGGGCCGCCUCGUGGGCCGGCGCUCCUCCUCGCCGGCGCCUGCGUGGCCGCUGUUUCCGCUAUCGGCAACCGCAACG